This 1927-nucleotide long non-coding RNA is filed under the name Arabidopsis thaliana (thale cress). Its description in RNAcentral is "ncRNA (AT1G53233)". The record is from RNAcentral. Lineage: Eukaryota; Viridiplantae; Streptophyta; Magnoliopsida; Brassicales; Brassicaceae.
CCUGGAAUAUGAAAAGAAACCUGUUGUGUUGCACAAUCUUAUGUGUUUUUGGAACUUGUUUAAUGGCGAGAAUCGGAUGAAGCAGAGGACGGCUUGUUGUCGCCGCCGUGCUCCUCUUGUUCGCCUUGAAACCGUGCUGGUAUACGAAAACCGGAGAAUUCACCACUUGAAGCAAAUGCAAUGCCUGGAAUAGCAGAUUGGUGAAUCCCGGGAGGGAUAUGGUAGGGAUGAUGAUGGUGGAGAUCGUCAGUGGUCAUGGACUGCUGAUGAUGAUGAUGAUGAUGGUGAGGAUCAAACCAAGCACGAAUCAUAGGUGUGUUAAUGGACUGAAGGGGACCCCUCUGUGAUAAAAGCUGACUUUGGCUAUAAACUGGAUGCAACGACGACGGAGAAGCAAACACAAAUCCUCCGGUACUUCCGGCGGAUUCAGCUGCUCCGACGUUGUUCCAUGACACUAGUCUCUGUAUCUUUCCAAAUUCCGGUGACUGAUGACUCUGUUCCCAGCUUGCCGUCGAUGAGUCAAACGCUAACUGAUUAUUGCUCUGGCCGGAGAACAGAGCAGGUUCUGUUUGAUUAGGAAAAGGUGGACCAUUUUGGAAAGAUUGAAGCGAGAGACGAAGAAGAUCUUGGUUCUGUGUAUUGCCUCGUGACGGUGGCUGAUGAUGAUAGCUCUGUUGCGUUGAAGCUACCGGAAAAAACGACUUUAUAGUGUCAGCUAUCGAAUCAGAAUCCAUUGACGCCGGAAGAAAACUCGAUUCGUUAUCUUCUUCUUCUCCGAUUCGAUGAUGCUCUGUUUCUUCCGGUUGUGGCGGUGGCGGAGAAAUUAAAGUUUUGGUUUUUCUGGGUUUAGCGUUAGCAGCAGCGGCGGCGUGUUGACGAAGAGUAUCGGCGGGGUUCCAAGGAGGAAGCUGAGCAAGAUCAUCAAUGGCGGAUUUAGCUUUAGUAAUAAGCCAAUCAACAGCUUUACUUGGUCGAUCAAAACCAAGUCUAUCUUGAACAUCGUAGAAUUGAAUCGCCGUCGGAGCUGAGAGUCUCACGCGCCGGUCACGUGGUCCUUUCGCUGUACAUACUUUACUAUGUCUGUCUUUUCUUCCUGUUGACCGAACAAUGUGACCUCCUUGUACCUCCACAAUCUCGCCGCAACCACCACCGUUCUCCGUCGCUGAUUGGUGGUGUCUCAUCUCUAGAAGAGGCGGCGACGGAGAAUCUAAGAAAUGGUCGUUAUCUGGUGCCAUUGAUGAAGCAUAUUGUGGAAAUUCAAGGUCGUUGAUGGUGGUGGUGGUUGGAUUAUGACGGCGGCGGCGACGGCGGUCGUUAACCGCCGAGGAAUCCAGAGUCGUUCGAUUUAUUUAAUUCAACAUUUUGCCUCUCCUCCAAAUCCCAAACCCUAAACACGCCAACAAAUCAAAGAUGAAGAAGAAGAAGAAGAAGAAGACGUAAUUGAAUUUUGCAGACUAACCCAUGACUAAAUUUCUCUUCUUUUGUCUAAAGAUUGUUUCUUUUUUAGAAUUUGUCUCUGUUUCUGAGAAUUCAAGAAGCAAAAACAGAGGAAGCAAGAAGAGAGAGAAGAGAUAGAGAGAUGUGGAAUUGACUAAACGAGAAUCCAGGAAAGCUCUUUUUAAUUUUUUGUUUCUGGCCGGAAAAUUUACAGUAACGGUAAAAAAAGGAAGAGAUUUUGGGGUUUGGGGAAGAGAGGGAAAUGGUAAUGGAAGGAGUGUGUUUGGUCAUAAAAAGAGCUCUCUGAUACUCAUCAUCAUCACUUGUGCUUUUAUUUCAUUUUUAAAGUGUUUUCUUAUUUUAUAUUAUAUAUUUUAUGGUUUUUCUAAAUGAAAAACAAAAAGCUUUUGUCCGAUUCAUCAUGUGGAAAUAUUUUACAUGACAUUUCGAAUUGUAUUAGCUAUAUACAUUACAAUGGAUAUAUUUUGGU